AGAGUUUGAUCCUGGCUCAGAGCGAACGCUGGCGGCAGGCUUAACACAUGCAAGUCGAACGGACCCUUCGGGGUUAGUGGCGGACGGGUGAGUAACACGUGGGAACGUGCCCUUAGGUUCGGAACAACACAGGGAAACUUGUGCUAAUACCGGAUGUGCCCUUUUGGGGAAAGAUUUAUCGCCUUUGGAGCGGCCCGCGUCUGAUUAGCUUGUUGGUGAGGUAAAGGCUCACCAAGGCUACGAUCAGUAGCUGGUCUGAGAGGAUGGCCAGCCACACUGGGACUGAGACACGGCCCAGACUCCUACGGGAGGCAGCAGUGGGGAAUCUUGCGCAAUGGGCGAAAGCCUGACGCAGCCAUGCCGCGUGGAUGAUGAAGGUCUUAGGAUUGUAAAAUCCUUUCAGCGGGGACGAUAAUGACGGUACCCGCAGAAGAAGCCCCGGCUAACUUCGUGCCAGCAGCCGCGGUAAUACGAAGGGGGCUAGCGUUGCUCGGAUUUACUGGGCGUAAAGGGCGCGUAGGCGGACAGUUAAGUUGGGGGUGAAAGCCCGGGGCUCAACCUCGGAAUUGCCUUCAAUACUGGCUGUCUUGAGUGUGAGAGAGGUGUGUGGAACUCCGAGUGUAGAGGUGAAAUUCGUAGAUAUUCGGAAGAACACCAGUGGCGAAGGCGACACACUGGCUCACUACUGNNGCUGAGGCGCGAAAGCGUGGGGAGCAAACAGGAUUAGAUACCCUAGUAGUCC
RNAcentral lists this ribosomal RNA (742 nucleotides) under uncultured bacterium. RNAcentral's name for it is "bacterial SSU rRNA". It matches the Rfam family "Bacterial small subunit ribosomal RNA", at positions 8 to 796 of the family's 1533-position model. The record is from RNAcentral.